GUGCUCGACUGGCAGCAUGACACUAAAAUUGGAAUGAUACAGAGAAGAUUAGCAAGGCCCCUGCGCAAGGACGACGCAAAAAUUUGUGAAGCAUUCCAUAUUUUU
This is a small nuclear RNA of Meriones unguiculatus (Mongolian gerbil), 105 nucleotides long. Lineage: Eukaryota; Metazoa; Chordata; Mammalia; Rodentia; Muridae. The record is from Ensembl.